ACUUCAGUAGCUAGCUAACUACCAGCUCGAGUGUGCAGUUCUCUCCGCCAGAAUGGCCAACGCUGCCGAAAAUGUUGUGGACUUUUUGUUGAAGAACCCCUUUCAUUCUCUGGGGUACACCAGAAAGGUGCGAAUUAAAAGCGAGGGUCGACCUCUGCCAGAGAUAAGUUUCACGAAGAAGGAUGAAAAGGUGAGGGCGUUCAAUACCAACUGGUAUCAAAAGUAUAGCCUUUCAUCAAGCCGCCUGUAUUGCUGGCCUUGCCUGCUUUUUGGAAAGGUCUGAGCCUUGGUCGAAAGGUGGGUACAGUGACCUGAAGAACAUCGAUCGUUCAGCUAAACGGCUAAACAAAAGCAGGGAGCAUAUAAAUGCCCACAUCAGAUUCAAGUUUCUGGGGAAAAAGACGCAUCGAUCAUGACGAAGGUCUGUGUAUUCAAACUGCACAACACGACGAGAAAGUUAGAAGAAACAGGAUGUUCUCAAGCAGCUUAUCAACACCACUGUGAUUCUAGAGGACACGGCGAGAGGGAAAGGACCACCAACAACGGCAACUACAAGGAGCUUGCGGAGCUAAGUCCCCUCCUGUUCCCUAAUUUUAAGAGGUGACGUCUACUCCAACUCCACUACCAUUGUCAACUUUCUCCUGACAUGAACUGAUGCCACGUCUCAUGUCCCCCGCUCAUCCACUGGCACAUUGAAAUGUUUCCUCUCCAAGCACUUCAAUUCCUGUCCUGCGCUGAAGUGCAAGCCUUCCGAACACCUCAACUCAUGCCUCGUACCCUCAUUCAAUCACUGCUGUGAUCCCUUCCCAACACUGUGGAAGUAGCCCUCUCAUUCCCAUUCCUCAUAAUAUUGAACUAUAAAAUGUCUUUAUUAAAUGCUUUAGGU
Molecule: long non-coding RNA, 886 nt
Organism: Coregonus clupeaformis (lake whitefish)
Lineage: Eukaryota; Metazoa; Chordata; Actinopteri; Salmoniformes; Salmonidae
Exons: 3
Source: RefSeq, a predicted model, not a curated record